CCACCAACCAAUUCAGUUCAACUACAGCGUUCCACCGGUAACUACACCUGCAUAGCCCACUCUAGUAAAACAGGUCUCCAGCCUUAUCCAUUGGGCCCGAACUGGUGGAAGUUUGAGGCAAGGGGGUGAAACAUCGGCCCUUUGAUCCACCCGCCGUGUCCAUUGUUGGAACACCGAGGUAAUCUUCUUCGGCAUCCAUUUUCGUAAGGACAAACCGCAAUAUAAAGGAUCCUGUGCAUUAAUCCACAACAUUUAAGACGGCACAAGUCACACUUCACAUUUAUCAUACGCCUCCACGUGGGAAUGAAUCGUAAGAAUAAUCCCUCCUGUUCUGGAACACAUGAACUUUACUGGGUCUUCUGCAGCCACCAUUUUGCUCUCCAGGCAGAUGAAAUAACUUCAGUUAGGUACGAGGAACCUUAACUUCUAGACGUCGUGUCUCCUACACCGAUCUUGGAACAAUGUGCUUUGCUUUCACAGGGGAGUACGUGCAGACGGUAGAAUGUUCCGAUAACUCCGCCUUCUCUCCUUCGAUGUGACAGCAACACGUUCGAAAGAAAACAGCUGAGUCACUCCUCACCUGUCGACAACAAACAGAAAAGAGAGAGAGAGAUGAACCUAAGUCGUAAUUGCUCCUGACAAGUCAGCGUUUCCAUACUAAAUAUUUAAAAUAUAAAAACUCUAAAUUUAAAGCUAAAGAAACUAUCAACAGAUCAAUAAUUUUUACAAAUUCGGUUGUUUCAGUCUUUAUCUGAAUUUUGCUGGAAUUGACCUAAAUAGAUAUCCCAUAUCAAAAGACACAAUUUGUUAAAGUCGAAAGCAUUUGGAAAUACCUAUCCUUGUGAGAAAGUGUUCAGCUUACUGUACAACGUAAAAAUGAGAACUAUGACGUGUCUUAUUAACACAUGGACAGAUUCGUGCGAAUCAUGUUGAUAGAAAUCCACCGAUCUCCAGUCACCGAGACAGGCCUCCAGAUAACCGACAAAACGCGAUGGAAUAAGGGACGUGGCAACAAGAUCCAUAUCAUCCGCGUACAGCGCUAGCUCAACAUGGCGGAAGGGCGUGUGAAUGUCGUUCACAUACUGGCUCAACUGCAUAGACGAGUCGAGUCCGCCCUCGGCCACUCCAGUCCGCAACCCAUGCCAUGUGAUGUGGCUGAUUGCAGUCAAGAUAGGACAUGGUUUUCGCCAGGCAGUCCUAGGGUAGUUACCUAGCAAAGGAGGACUUUGGCCUGAAGGAUCUCCGAGGGACUGGUUAAUUUCGGUUCACUUGCGGGGGCAUACUCGUAUGCUCGCUUCGCCUCGUUAACCACGUCAAUAACUGCGGGUCCGACGGGUCGUCCGCCGGCUGAAACUGGACCUCAAGGUUAUCGGCCAGGGCUUCCGGUUUCUCCGAGUCCGAGAGAGCAAGUCCUCCCGGCACUUGCAAGGGGGGGCAACGGAGUGGGGACUCGCAUCACCCGCUUGGUCAUCUUCCAUAGCGACUGGUCCUCGCAGUCCAAGGAUUCCAGCGUGUCGCUCCACUGUUCGUUCCUCUACGCGUUGGGCCGAUAGGUCACCGACCUCUGGAGGCGGCUGACCCGAGCUUUCAGAGCGGGGUUCCUCGUGGCCUGCCACUGCCUCCUCAGCAGAUUCGUUGCAUGAUACACCCGUGGUAAAAGACGAGGAGGCAAUUGACAAGUGUGUCGAGAAGCUGACUAGCACCAUCCAUGAGACCACAGUGGCAUCUCCUGCCAAGAGUCCACACUGUGACAGCCUGCAGCCCCCUCUACCCAGUAGUAUUCAGAAUAAACACAGCUGUUACUCUGAAAUUUUUAGGUCAAAGGGAUUUCUUACUUCAGGAAGUUGUUAGUUAAAAGGAGGAAGUCAGCAAAGCAGACAAUUCUUGAUAGUUCCUUCAGAAAGAGACAAAUGGAGCCAUUAACAUCUGAAUGUAACAACCACCAACAUCCCUCAAAAUUAAUUUUCUUUCACCUGAUCAUCUCCAUUAAACCACUAAUCCCCUUAGCUUAGGGUAGGAAUGUUUUAUGCUCUAAUUACUUAUUCAUCAUGUAUGUUUCUAAGUACAAUGCUUUAAUAUGAUUUUAUAACCUUUAUUUAUUAAAUUUUCAUGUUUACUACAUUAUAAAUUAUGUUUCUUGGGUGGAAAGAUCAACUUCCGAUCGUCUUAAAAUGAAUUAAGCCUUUAACAUGUAUUUCCUGUGUACGGUUAAGGAUACUUUUAAAUAAUAAUGGAAUUUGUGAAA
This is a non-coding RNA of Zootermopsis nevadensis, 2245 nucleotides long. Lineage: Eukaryota; Metazoa; Arthropoda; Insecta; Blattodea; Termopsidae. The record is from RefSeq and is a predicted model, not a curated record.